RNAcentral lists this unclassified non-coding RNA (461 nucleotides) under uncultured Entrophospora. RNAcentral describes it as "SSU rRNA". It matches the Rfam family "Eukaryotic small subunit ribosomal RNA", at positions 569 to 1035 of the family's 1831-position model. Lineage: Eukaryota; Fungi; Glomeromycota; Glomeromycetes; Entrophosporales; Entrophosporaceae. The record is from RNAcentral.
AGCAGCCGCGGUAAUUCCAGCUCCAAUAGCGUAUAUUAAAGUUGCUGCAGUUAAAAAGCUCGUAGUUGAAUUUCGGGACCAUCAUGUUGGUCGUGCCUAGGUACGUACUGGCAUUGUUGGUUUCUCCCUUCUGACGAACCAUGAUGUCAUUUAUUUGGUGUCGUGGGAAAUCAGGGACUGUUACUUUGAAAAAUUAGAGUGUUUAAAGCAGGCUCACGCUUGAAUACAUUAGCAUGGAAUAAUGAAAUAGGACGUUUGAUUCUAUUUUGUUGGUUUCUAGGAUCGACGUAAUGAUUAAUAGGGAUAGUUGGGGGCAUUAGUAUUCAAUUGUCAGAGGUGAAAUUCUUGGAUUUAUUGAAGACUAACUACUGCGAAAGCAUUUGCCAAGGAUGUUUUCAUUAAUCAAGAACGAAAGUUAGGGGAUCGAAGACGAUCAGAUACCGUCGUAGUCUUAACCAUAA